Molecule: ribosomal RNA, 402 nt
Filed under: bacterium
Lineage: Bacteria
Description: partial 16S ribosomal RNA
Rfam family: Bacterial small subunit ribosomal RNA
Source: RNAcentral
UGGGGAAUUUUGCACAAUGGGGGAAACCCUGAUGCAGCGACGCCGCGUGAUUUAGAAGGCCUUCGGGUUGUAAAAAUCUUUUCUAUGGGAAGAAAAUGACAGUACCAUAGGAAUAAGGACCGGCUAAUUACGUGCCAGCAGCCGCGGUAAUACGUAAGGUCCGAGCGUUGUCCGGAAUCAUUGGGCGUAAAGGGUACGUAGGCGGGUAAGUAAGUUAGAAGUGAAAUCCUAUAGCUCAACUAUAGUAAGCUUUUAAAACUGCUCAUCUUGAGGUAUGGAAGGGAAAGUGGAAUUCCUGGUGUAGCGAUGAAAUGCGCAGAUAUUAGUGGGAAUACCGGUGGCGAAGGCGACUUUCUGGCCAUAACCUGACGCUGAGGUACGAAAGCGUGGGUAGCAAACAAG